Molecule: long non-coding RNA, 425 nt
Filed under: Carica papaya (papaya)
Lineage: Eukaryota; Viridiplantae; Streptophyta; Magnoliopsida; Brassicales; Caricaceae
Description: long non-coding RNA (CPAP_LNC002966)
Source: RNAcentral
AAAAGAAAAUAUAUAAUAAUUUAAGUGCAGAAGCGAAAUAAAAGGUUAAGGUUUACAUCCCUUACACAAUAACUUAAAAGUACUAAACAAACAUUACAGAAUGAAUUCUCUGAAAGAAACACGAGAAAUAAAACAAGUAAUGAAAAAUAGAAAGUAUCUACCAUCUACUCGCAAUCUUCAUGCGGAUCAGGCUCUGGAACCAGAUCUUCCUGAUCUGAAAUGGUUAAAUAAAAGAUGAGUUACACUAGCCCAGUAAGGAUAUCACACUAUAUCAUCCUCACAGAAGCAAAAGUUAGUAUAAAAUCAAAACAACUAAUCGAGCACUAAAUUUAGCAAAUUUGUUUAUCAAUUAUAAAAUCAUUUACCAUUCACUUAUCAUAGUAGAAUUUAUGAAAACAACCUAUAAAGACAGUAAUAUCAUACAG